AACGAACGCUGGCGGCAGGCUUAACACAUGCAAGUCGAACGCCCCGCCAGGGGGGUGGCAGACUGGUGAGUAACGCGUGGCGACAUACCCUUUUCUACGUCGUAGCCCUGGGAUACUGGGAUUAAUACCGUAUAAGACCUACGGUGGUAAGGUUUACCGGGGAAGGGUGGGCGCGCGUUGGCUUCGCUCGUUGGGGGGGUAAAGGCGUACCAAGGCGACGAUCUAUAGCUGGUCUGAGAGGAUGAGCAGCCACAUUGGCACUGAGACACGGCCCAAACUACUACGGGAGGCAGCAGUGGGUAAUAUUGGACAAUGGGCGCAAGCCUGAUCCAGCCAUGCCGCGUGAGUGAUGAAGGCCUUAGAGUUGUAAAGCUCUUUCACCGAUGAAGAUAAUGACGGUAGUCGGAGAAGAAGCCCCGGCUAACUUCGUG
RNAcentral lists this ribosomal RNA (431 nucleotides) under uncultured bacterium. RNAcentral describes it as "partial 16S ribosomal RNA". It matches the Rfam family "Bacterial small subunit ribosomal RNA", at positions 29 to 507 of the family's 1533-position model. The record is from RNAcentral.